AGGUGACAAUAGCGGUGGGGUCCACCUCUUCCCAUUCCGAACAGAGAAGUUAAGCCCACCAGCGCCGAUGGUACUUGCCAAAAGCCGGAAGAGUAGGUCGUUGCCUGUU
This 109-nucleotide ribosomal RNA is filed under the name Bacteroidales bacterium. Lineage: Bacteria; Pseudomonadati; Bacteroidota; Bacteroidia; Bacteroidales. The record is from RNAcentral.